AAAGUUAUAAAUAUAUCAAGAUUAAGGAUUAGGAUUAAAAAGGUUAAAAGAAUGGAAAAAUUGGUUUUUAAUAGGUAAAAAUUUAAUGUUAUAUUAUAUUAAGAUUAAGGAUUGGGAUUAAAAAGGAGGGAAAGGAAUUGCUGGACUAACAAACUGAAUUGGAAUACAAAAGAGGGAGGUAUGAGGAGGUCCGGGAAACAAGUAAAUGUAAAAGUAGUGAUGAAAAGAGGGAAUUGUUUUUAACUGUUUUUUUUUUCCUUUUUGUAUAUUGCAUUGUGUAUUUUUCUUUUUAUUCUUGAAUUUUUCUUUUUAUGUUGAUGUGAUUCUUUCUUUGUGAAACUUUAAUAAAUAUCAUUU
Podarcis lilfordi (Lilford's wall lizard) is the source of this 357-nucleotide non-coding RNA. The record is from the annotation of a GenBank genome assembly. NCBI's taxonomy places the organism in Eukaryota, Metazoa, Chordata, Lepidosauria, Squamata, Lacertidae.